Molecule: ribosomal RNA, 256 nt
Filed under: uncultured bacterium
Lineage: Bacteria
Description: partial 16S ribosomal RNA
Rfam family: Bacterial small subunit ribosomal RNA
Source: RNAcentral
UACGGGGGGAGCAAGCGUUGUUCGGAAUCACUGGGCGUAAAGGGCGUCUAGGCGGUUUGGUAAGUGGGAUGUGAAAUGCCCGGGCUCACCCCGGGACCUGCAUCCCAAACUGCUGAGCUUGAGUACAGGAGAGGGUGGGGGAAUUCCAGGUGUAGCGGUAAAAUGUGUAGAUAUAUGGAAGAACACCAAUAACGGCGAAGGCAGUUAACUAUUCUGUUACUGACAUUGAGGCACGAAAGCGUGGGGAGCAAAACGG